GCGCUCUAGCAAUUUAUAUAAGCUCCGCUUCUUCAGCUGUCCACCAAUCACAGGCCAGCAUACGAUUCAGAGGAUGACGUCGCCACCUAACGACCGGGAGCGUCAGCGAACAUAAAUAUUAGUCGAGGCUUGUGGCUAAGUUCACUAAUUAUUUUGACAGGUCCGUCGAGAUCAACCAGUUUAAAGUUUACAUUUAAUAUUUGUGGUUUAUUGAAGUUUGUUUAAGUGUUUUGGAUGGGGAAUGAGUAUGCCCUUCUUGAAGCGACCCCAGACUACAGAACCACUUGUAAAAGCCCAAAAAUGCGAGCCGCAUCACACUGUGUAUUCUGUCAGAAUCAGAAGAAUCAGAAUCAGAAUGAGCUUUAUUGCCAGGUAUGUUUACACAUACGAGGAAUUUGUUUUCGUGACAGAAGCUCCGCAGUACAACAGAAUGACAGCGACAGAACAUAAAACACAUAAUAAAAGAAUAAAAAAUACAAAUAUGUAGACAGUGAAUGACAAUAUACAAAUGACAAUUGUAGGCAGGUAUAUUACAAAGUGAAGUUAUGUAUGUACAUAUAUAUUGUGUGCAAAAUUUAAGUGUAUACUAAGUAUGUGUGUUAGAUAAAUAAAGUGUGUGUGUAUAUAAAUAUAAAGUGUAGUGUGUUCGCCAUUAUUGUCAGCUGUUCAUAAGAUGGAUUGCCUGAGGGAAGAAACUGGUCCUGUGUCUGGUCGUUCUAGUGCUCAGUGCUCUGUAGCGUCGACCAGAUGGCAACAGUUCAAAGAGAGAGUGUGCUGGAUGUGAGGGGUCCAGAGUGAUUUUGACAGCCCUUUUUCUCACUCUGGAUAAGUACAGUUCUUGAAUAGAUGGGAGAGUUGAACCGAUGAUUCGCUCAGCAGUCCGGACUACUCUCUGUAGUCUUCUGAGGUUAGAUUUAGAAGCUGAGCUGAACCAGACAGUUACUGAAGUGCAGAGGAUGGAUUCAAUGAUGGUCGAGUAGAACUGUUUCAGCAGCUCCUGUGGCAGGUUGGAGAUGGAGAUACAAUGGAGUACACAGGCGAGUGGAUGAAUAAUAAUAAACGUGGUAAUAUUUAAUGGAUUGAAUAUUUAAUGGCAUGUUUUAAACAUUACAGGCCUUGAGGAUCACAGUACAAAGCCUGGCAGUUUAAAUAGACAAACCUUAAUUUAAUUUACUUGUUAUUUUAGAUGCUGCAGAUUACAUUACACUAUUUAUUUCUAGGAAACGCUGCUCAUCAAAGCUUGAUUUAGAAGAAUGAUUUUCCCUCCAUUAACAAAAUGUUCCUGAAGGUAGCUCGAACUCUGAUGAAGAAAAGGGACACAGGUUUGGAAGAAAACAGGACUGAUCUAUGAUGAGGACUGGAGAAUAUCUAAUGGAAACCGCUUUGUGGGCACCUGGAGCGACGGACAGAAAAACGGACAUGGCAAGUUCUUCUACCUGGACAGAGGUAAGCUGUACGAAGGGCUUUUUGGUUGACGGCGUUGCUAAGUGUGGAACCAUGUCUGAUUUUGGGAGAGAAGCAGCAGUUAGACCAACAGUCUAUCCAAUUCCCAAGGUAAAUGAUUAACACUGAUGUUUGCUCAUUUGCAUGAUUUCCAUUUUAACAGUAAUGCAAGCUUUCAGUCAUAGGUUCAGACCAGUGUAACAGCUCAAAGAGUUUUGUUGAUUUGCAUGGUUUAUUACCUAAUGCAGAUUCAGAAACAUUGUGGAUUUCUCCAAAGGCAAACCUUUGGACGUAAAAGCAGAGCUGUAAUCGACAGAAACCACAAUUCCAAGUCAUACCAUUGCUAGGGAAUAUCUACCUUGACAAUAUCCCGAAGACAAAAAAGGCAGACUAGUGUGGUGAAAUGUGUUUUAUCAACCCCUCACUCACAAUAAAAACACUAGCACACAAUACAAAAAAGCUGGUGGCACAUUAUGCAUCUACUAGUAUUUAACAAAAUGCUCAUUUUGGCAAGAAUUAUAUAAAAGAGCACAAAAGGGUGUUUGGUUUAAGUUUGAUUUAAGACUUUAAUUAAAAUGUAUAAACUGUGAGUUUUUAAAUUCCAGCACAUGCUGUGCACUAAUAAAAAGAGCUUCUGAAUCAAACUUUACACACAACAUUGGAUAUUGUUUCACAUACUUUGGGGAAAAAAUAAAUAAUUGUAUUUCAAUUUGGCAAUACUGAACAUGUUAAUAAAUUGGCAUGUUGUUUUAGUCAUUUUUGUCAAUGCUGCUGAUGUGACUACAUGCUUAAACGGUCCUCUGCUUAAUAAACACUUUGUUUGAAAUGUGUUCGCUAGCAUAAUCGCACAAUCCUGCCAGCUCUUUAGCCGUGACGGCGCUAAGCACUUGUGUCCAACUUCAGAGUGAACAGAGGUUCCUUUAAUGGGAAGCCAUUUCAAAUACUACCAAAAAAGGUCAGACAAACAUGUUGAUAAAGUGCCUUAGUUUCUUCUAAGUUUCUCCUUAGUUUCAUUCAGGGGGUUCAUUUGGGGAAAAAAUUUGAGUUUGAAUGAGACUCUGAUUUUUGGUUGAUUCAGCUGUUCAAUAGCAAAGCUAUGAUUCAGAACUCAUCACAAUUAUUUGGUCAAACGGACAUAAAAGUGUCCCCUGCACUGUAAUAACUUCAAACAAGCCUCUGAUCAGUCUUUAAAAGAUUUUUUUUUGCAAUAUAUAAACUUAUGUCUGUAAGAACGUAGGUUGCCUU
Molecule: long non-coding RNA, 2688 nt
Organism: Carassius gibelio (silver crucian carp)
Lineage: Eukaryota; Metazoa; Chordata; Actinopteri; Cypriniformes; Cyprinidae
Exons: 3
Source: RefSeq, a predicted model, not a curated record